AGGAAUGUAUAGCAAUAGCUACUUGCAUCAUUGUAGAUAUGAUGUAAGAUCGACUAUGUUGAAUAAAAUUCUAGGUAGAAUUAUGAUAAUGACAUUGUCUGCCUAUGUGUCUUGACCAAAUUACGUGCCAGCAGUCGCGGUAAUACGUAGAAGACUAGUGUUAUUCAUGUUUAAUCGGUUUAAAGGGUACCUAGACGGUAGAUCAAGCUUUCUAAUAAAUGAAAAGGACUAAUUUACUAGAGUUACUUAUGAGGGGGUAUUAAAGUACUGCUGGUGUAGAGAUGAAAUUCUGUCAUACCUCUUUUCAAAGGAAAAACCAUGGCACAGGUAUAGGCGAAGGCAUCCCCUUAUGUGAUAACUGACGUUGAGGGACGAAGGCUUUGUGUAGCGAACAGGAUUAGAUACCCCAGUAGUCGAAGCAGAAAAUGAUGAAUGUCAUAGAUUAGAUGUAUAAGUUUAUUCUAUAAAUGAAAGUGUAAGCAUUCCACCUCAUGAGUAAUUUGGCAACAUUGGAACUGAAAUCAUUAGACCGUUUCUGAAACCAGUAGUGAAGUAUGUUGUUUAAUUUGAUGAUCCGCAAAAAACCUUACCACAAUUUGAAUAUUUAUAUUUUUUUUUAUUGUUUUCUCUUUUUUCUUCUGAAAAAAAAAAGAGAAGAAAAAAAUCAAAAAAGGAAGAAAAUUAAGAAAGAGGCAAUAAGAUAUAUUUACAAGCGUUGCACGGCUGUCUUCAGUUAAUGUCGCGAGACUUUGGUUAGUUCCAUUAAAUUAACGUAAACCCUUACUUUAUUUUUAUAUAGAGUAGUUCCCCGCUAUAUUGGAUAUGAU
This 827-nucleotide ribosomal RNA is filed under the name Xanthoparmelia pokornyi. RNAcentral describes it as "partial small subunit ribosomal RNA". It matches the Rfam family "Bacterial small subunit ribosomal RNA", at positions 357 to 1146 of the family's 1533-position model. Lineage: Eukaryota; Fungi; Ascomycota; Lecanoromycetes; Lecanorales; Parmeliaceae. The record is from RNAcentral.